GAUGAACGCUGGCGGCGUGCCUAAUACAUGCAAGUCGAGCGAACGGACGAGAAGCUUGCUUCUCUGAUGUUAGCGGCGGACGGGUGAGUAACACGUGGAUAACCUCCCUAUAAGACUGGGAUAACUUCGGGAAACCGGAGCUAAUACCGGAUAAUAUUUUGAACCGCAUGGUUCAAAAGUGAAAGACGGUCUUGCUGUAACUUAUAGAUGGAUCCGCGCUGCAUUAGCUAGUUUGUAAGGUAACGGCUUACCAAGGCAACGAUGCAUAGCCGACCUGAGAGGGUGAUCGGCCACACUGGAACAGAGACACGGUCCAGACUCCUACAGGAGGCAGCAGUAGGGAAUCUUCCGCAAGGGGCGAAAGCCUGACGGAGCAACGCCGCGUGAGUGAUGAAGGUCUUCGGAUCGUAGAACUCUGUUAUUAGGGAAGAACAUAUGUGUAAGUAACUGUGCACAUCUUGACGGUACCUAAUCAGAAAGCCACGGCUAACUACGUG
RNAcentral lists this ribosomal RNA (497 nucleotides) under uncultured bacterium. RNAcentral's name for it is "partial 16S ribosomal RNA". It matches the Rfam family "Bacterial small subunit ribosomal RNA", at positions 28 to 507 of the family's 1533-position model. The record is from RNAcentral.